This 648-nucleotide ribosomal RNA is filed under the name uncultured bacterium. RNAcentral's name for it is "bacterial SSU rRNA". It matches the Rfam family "Bacterial small subunit ribosomal RNA", at positions 140 to 805 of the family's 1533-position model. The record is from RNAcentral.
GGGAUAACAGUUGGAAACGACUGCUAAUACCGCAUAAGCGCACAGGAUCGCAUGAUCUGGUGUGAAAAACUCCGGUGGUAUGAGAUGGACCCGCGUCUGAUUAGCCAGUUGGCAGGGUAACGGCCUACCAAAGCGACGAUCAGUAGCCGACCUGAGAGGGUGACCGGCCACAUUGGGACUGAGACACGGCCCAAACUCCUACGGGAGGCAGCAGUGGGGAAUAUUGCACAAUGGGGGAAACCCUGAUGCAGCGACGCCGCGUGAGCGAAGAAGUAUUUCGGUAUGUAAAGCUCUAUCAGCAGGGAAGAAGAAUGACGGUACCUGACUAAGAAGCACCGGCUAAAUACGUGCCAGCAGCCGCGGUAAUACGUAUGGUGCAAGCGUUAUCCGGAUUUACUGGGUGUAAAGGGAGCGCAGGCGGUGCGGCAAGUCUGAUGUGAAAGCCCGGGGCUCAACCCCGGUACUGCAUUGGAAACUGUCGUACUAGAGUGUCGGAGGGGUAAGUGGAAUUCCUAGUGUAGCGGUGAAAUGCGUAGAUAUUAGGAGGAACACCAGUGGCGAAGGCGGCUUACUGGACUGUAACUGACGCUGAGGCUCGAAAGCGUGGGGAGCAAACAGGAUUAGAUACCCUGGUAGUCCACGCCGUAA